Long non-coding RNA from Oxyura jamaicensis (ruddy duck), 474 nucleotides. RefSeq lists it as uncharacterized. NCBI's taxonomy places the organism in Eukaryota, Metazoa, Chordata, Aves, Anseriformes, Anatidae. The record is from RefSeq and is a predicted model, not a curated record. The transcript has 2 exons.
UGCCUGCCUGCCUGGCUCCCCCUGACCCGCUCACCCUUGUGGGUGCUUGGUGUGGCGGGGCCGGAGGGACGGCCGGGCGCACCUCUGCCGAGCGGCGUGGAGCUCUGCGAGACCUCCCCGCACUGCGGUACGGGCACGGGCUCCCUGUCCUCACAGCCGAGGAGACGCCGUCUCCCAGAAGGUGCUUCCCACCGAGGACAUGGCCUCGAGAGGGGCACACAGCCUGGCACCACGCUGGGGCUCGCCUCGCCACGGGGUGGACACUCCACAGAGACCUACGGCCUCCCGUUUGGUAUUUCAACUUCAAAAUUAAAAGACCAAAUAGUGUCACACAGACCUGAAUGAAAAUGUUUCAGUCGGUCUAAUUUGGACUAGGGUGUGGCCCCAACUGACAUCAAACGCUGGAGUAUUCUGAGAGUAAUACAAACGCCUAGCUAAAGUACAAGCCGUAUUUUCACCUUCUCCACGAGGUCU